Molecule: unclassified non-coding RNA, 587 nt
Filed under: Hevea brasiliensis (rubber tree)
Lineage: Eukaryota; Viridiplantae; Streptophyta; Magnoliopsida; Malpighiales; Euphorbiaceae
Source: RNAcentral
ACUCCAACCAGCCCCCUAAAAAGUAGGUUUCUCUUUUUCUAUUAUUUGGUAGUCACCUCUAGUGACUUUCAAUCAACUGUUCAGUUCUUGUACUUCAGUUGCAUAUAGUUGUUUCAGUUGCAUAUAGUUGUUUUUUUUCUUGGUAAUGACUUAGAACGUAAUUCCUCUGCUGAUUGUUACUGCCUGAUGGAGGAAAUUAAUUAUGCUCAUAUGAAAAAUUAACUUGCUUAUGGGUAAUUUCCAUAAUGAUUGGAAUAUGGAAACUAUUUGGAAGAAUUUUCAAUUUACUAAUUUCUGUGCAAAUGUUUGUAUCUUGCACAGUUAAAAGUGUUUUACCCAUGGAAACUAAUUGGGCUACAUUCAAUAAGAUAUAACAAACUUAACAGAAGGGGUAUUUGUUUUAGGAGGCAGUGAUAUUUGGUCAAUUCAUAUUCAUCGUAUUAUAGGAUGUAAUCUGAAGUUGACCAGAAUUAUUUUUUUUUCUUUUGAAACAUGCAUCGUAUUAUAGGAUGUAAUCUGAAGUUGACCAGAAUUAUUUUUUUUUCUUUUGAAACAUGCUUGCAGGUUGGAGAUAAAGCAAGCAGCAG